Molecule: ribosomal RNA, 253 nt
Filed under: uncultured bacterium
Lineage: Bacteria
Description: partial 16S ribosomal RNA
Rfam family: Bacterial small subunit ribosomal RNA
Source: RNAcentral
UACAGAGGGUGCAAGCGUUAAUCGGAAUUACUGGGCGUAAAGCGUGCGUAGACGGUUAUGUAAGUCAGGUGUGAAAGCCCCGGGCUCAACCUGGGAAUGCCAUUUGAGACUGCAUAGCUAGGGUACGGAAGAGGGAAGCGGAAUUUCAGGUGUAGCGGUGAAAUGCGUAGAUAUCUGAAGGAACACCAGUGGCGAAAGCGGCUUCCUGGUCCAGUACCGACGUUCAGGCACGAAAGCCAGGGGAGCAAACGGG